GCUGGCGGCGUGCUUAAUACAUGCAAGUCGAACGCUCUCGACCUUCGGGUCACAUGAGAGAGUGGCGAACGGGUGCGUAACACGUGAGAAACCUGCCCCAAAGACGGGAAUAGCCCGAGGAAACUCGGAUUAAUACCCGAUACCUCCACAAUGCCGCAUGGCAAUGUGAAGAAAGUUCAGGCGCUUUGGGAGGGUCUCGCGGCCUAUCAGCUUGUUGGUGAGGUAACGGCUCACCAAGGCAUCGACGGGUAGCUGGUCUGAGAGGACGAUCAGCCACACUGGGACUGAGACACGGCCCAGACUCCUACGGGAGGCAGCAGUAGGGAAUCUUGCGCAAUGGGCGAAAGCCUGACGCAGCAACGCCGCGUGGGGGAUGAAUGCCUUCGGGUUGUAAACCCCUUUCAGCAGGGACGAAAAUGACGGUACCUGCAGAAGAAGCUCCGGCCAACUACGUGCCAGCAGCCGCGGUAAUACGUAGGGAGCAAGCGUUGUCCGGAAUUAUUGGGCGUAAAGAGCUCGUAGGCGGUUCAGUAAGUCGGGUGUGAAAACUCAAGGCUCAACCUUGAGACGCCACUCGAUACUGCUGUGACUUGAGUCCGGUAGAGGAGUGUGGAAUUCCUGGUGUAGCGGUGAAAUGCGCAGAUAUCAGGAGGAACACCAGCGGCGAAGGCGGCACUCUGGGCCGGUACUGACGCUGAGGAGCGAAAGCAUGGGGAGCAAACAGGAUUAGAUACCCUGGUAGUCCAUGCCGUAAACGUUGGGCACUAGGUAUGGGAUCAUAUCAACGGAUUCCGUGCCGUAGCUAACGCAUUAAGUGCCCCGCCU
This 825-nucleotide ribosomal RNA is filed under the name uncultured Acidimicrobiales bacterium. RNAcentral's name for it is "bacterial SSU rRNA". It matches the Rfam family "Bacterial small subunit ribosomal RNA", at positions 35 to 874 of the family's 1533-position model. The record is from RNAcentral. Lineage: Bacteria; Bacillati; Actinomycetota; Acidimicrobiia; Acidimicrobiales.